AACGAACGCUGGCGGCAUGCCUAACACAUGCAAGUCGAGCGCCCGUAGCAAUACGGGAGCGGCGCACGGGUGAGUAACGCGUGGGAACCUGCCCAGAGGUUCGGGACAACCGCGGGAAACUGCGGCUGAUACCGGAUGAUUCCUGAGGGACAAAGAUUUAUCGCCUUUGGAGGGGCCCGCGUCGGAUUAGGUAGUUGGUGGGGUAACGGCUCACCAAGCCUAUGAUCCGUAACUGGUCUGAGAGGAUGACCAGUCACACUGGGACUGAGACACGGCCCAGACUCCUACGGGAGGCAGCAGUGGGGAAUAUUGCGCAAUGGGCGAAAGCCUGACGCAGCGACGCCGCGUGCGGGAUGAAGGCCUUCGGGUCGUAAACCGCUGUCGCCAGGGACGAAACAAAUGACGGUACCUGGAAAGGAAGGCACCGGCUAACUCUGUGCCAGCAGCCGCGGUAAU
RNAcentral lists this ribosomal RNA (456 nucleotides) under uncultured bacterium. Its description in RNAcentral is "bacterial SSU rRNA". It matches the Rfam family "Bacterial small subunit ribosomal RNA", at positions 29 to 524 of the family's 1533-position model. The record is from RNAcentral.